GUGACGAAGCGACCCCGCGUGUGGGAAGAAGGCCUUCGGGGUUGUAAACCACUGUGGGGAGUCAGGAAAUGUGGAGGUGUUAAUAGCGCCUUCAUUUGACUAAAGCUCCAGAGGAAGCCACGGCUAACUCUGUGCCAGCAGCCGCGGUAAUACAGAGGUGGCAAGCGUUGUUCGGAAUUAUUGGGCGUAGAGAGCACGUAGGCGGCUCUGCAAGUCAGCUGUGAAAGCCUUCUGCUUAACGGAAGAACGGCAGUUGAAACUACAGGGCUUGAGUGCGGGAGGGGAGAGUGGAACUUCUGGUGGAGCGGUGAAAUGCGUAGAUAUCAGAAGGAACGCCGGCGGCGAAAGCGGCUCUCUGGUCCGUAACUGACGCUGAGUGUGCGAAAGCUAGGGGAGCAAACGGGAUUAGAUACCCCGGUAGUCCUAGCCGUAAACGAU
RNAcentral lists this ribosomal RNA (438 nucleotides) under uncultured bacterium. RNAcentral describes it as "bacterial SSU rRNA". It matches the Rfam family "Bacterial small subunit ribosomal RNA", at positions 383 to 810 of the family's 1533-position model. The record is from RNAcentral.